GCCUACCUCACCGGGAGGGCGUUGGGAGGAGGAGAAAGGGAAGGGCGGAGGCCGUGGAAACGCUGAGGGAUGGGCAGGAGGCCCUGAGAGCGCAGUGGCAGCCUGGGGCGAUGGAGGGGGAAAGAGUGGGCUCUUCAGCCUGGCCUCCCUCGCAGGUAGCAGGACAGGAGCUUUGAAAGUACAGCCGCAGUUCUGUGGCGGUGCUUCCCGUCAAGGGAGAGAAGAGGGAGGAGGAAGGCGAGGGUCUGGCUGCAGGAAGAGAAAGAGGAGCAGGAGCCCUGAAGCCUCCCUCCGGUGCAGCUUCAACAUGUGUCCCCGCAAUUGCUCUGGCCAAGGGGAAUGCAGGCCCACCAACAGCAGCAAAGUAGUUGAAUGUGAGUGUUCAGAACAUUGGAAAGGAGAAGCCUGUGACAUUCCUUAUUGUCCAGAUGACUGUGGUUUUCCGGAGAGAGGCCAGUGCAGUAGAAAUGUCUCUCAGGGAUGUGUGUGCUAUGCAGGAUAGCAAGGUAUUCCCUUGUUUCCUAAGUGUGGCUGUCUCUUGACACCAGUCUGAAUGUAGUCAUGAUCAGGUAUUGCCAUUCUCUGACCUUACAUGAGCUGAGUAUACAUGAGGUGUUGCAGAAGAGAGAGACAUGAAUGCAACCUGGAAUCAGUGUCUUCUAAAUCCAGGCAGCCUCACAUGAUUUGCAACAUCAUUCCAACCAAUGUGAGCCUUCAAAAUAAAUCAAGCUGGGACACAACUUUUAAUCAUCCCUGAGAACUGCUAUCUAUCAAAAACACAAGGUCCCCACAUGACUGAGAGCCUCUGCCUAAAUUGAGAUCCCUCCAACUGAACUACACCAGAGAUGAACGUCCAUGCAAAAUGUAAGCCUGUGACUCCAAUACCAUCACUCUUUCUUCCUCCUGGAUGAUUUUUAAAACACCUUUCACCAGAUGAAGCAGUCAGUGGAGCUUCGAAAGCUUGUGUUAUGUGUUUCUAGUUGACAGAUUUUUAUCCCAAGCAAUUUUUUAUGUGUAUUAUUUAUUUUUCUAUGUUAUAUUUUAUAUUGAUGCUGGUCUUUGGCCGUAAUAAAGAAUUUCAUUUCAUUGCAUUAUGUGCGUUGUGUAUUUUG
Molecule: long non-coding RNA, 1112 nt
Organism: Sceloporus undulatus (fence lizard)
Lineage: Eukaryota; Metazoa; Chordata; Lepidosauria; Squamata; Phrynosomatidae
Exons: 5
Source: RefSeq, a predicted model, not a curated record